UAGGUAUUGGGCGCAGCCUGAUGCAGCCAUGCCGCGUGUAUGAAGAAGGCCUUCGGGUUGUAAAGUACUUUCAGCGGGGAGGAAGGGAGUAAAGUUAAUACCUUUGCUCAUUGACGUUACCCGCAGAAGAAGCACCGGCUAACUCCGUGCCAGCAGCCGCGGUAAUCA
This 168-nucleotide ribosomal RNA is filed under the name uncultured bacterium. RNAcentral describes it as "partial 16S ribosomal RNA". It matches the Rfam family "Bacterial small subunit ribosomal RNA", at positions 365 to 525 of the family's 1533-position model. The record is from RNAcentral.